This is a long non-coding RNA of Ictalurus punctatus (channel catfish), 1623 nucleotides long. RefSeq lists it as uncharacterized. The transcript is spliced from 2 exons. The record is from RefSeq and is a predicted model, not a curated record. Lineage: Eukaryota; Metazoa; Chordata; Actinopteri; Siluriformes; Ictaluridae.
GGUCAGUCUGACACACACAGGCACGGACAACUGAUUAACAGGCAUCUAAGCUACUACAAGCCAUGUUCAUGAACCACAGGGCAGAAAACACACACCAAAAAAAAUGAUCUGCACCUAAAAGUGAAAACCCACUAAAAAUAAAACGCAGCGCUAAAAAGGCCUUAUAUCACAACCCUGUUGCAUUCCUGCAUUCCACAGCAUUACAUCCAACUACUAAUGGAUUAAAAAAUAAAUAAAAAAAAAAAAAAAAAGGCAUGCCGUUCCUUAAUAAAUGAAAUGGAUAGGAUUGGAAAUUCGCUGUGGUAUAAGGGGAACAGAGCAGGAGCUGUUAUUAAAGAAUAAUCAUCAACUUUGAGGUGUGGAUGGCCGUCUACUUCAGGUUGGGACACGUCACACCACCCUGUCAUUGCUUAUUUUCCAACGACGGCGCAACCUAUCGCGUUUUAUUCCUCAAACGAUGAAAUUUCACUCAGAAGCACAAGCCGAAUCUGUAAGAAACAGGUAAACGUGAAGGAACAACGAGUAGCUUAAGGUCCUGGAGAGAAAAAGUAAACAUGUGCUGAGAGAGAAAAAGAUACGAGGAAAAAACAUACACGAGCAAUAGAACACGGCCAACCUGGGUAAACGUGACCGUUGAAGCGCGCGGCGCAAUGAGCUCGGCUCAGAUAAAUACGUGGAUAGUAUAAGCAUGCACUGAAUAAAAUCUGGGUAGACGGUGACGAAAUCGUGAGGUCAUUCUUCAUACUCAAAGAGGUAAAGAGGCAAUUUCAGAUGUUUGAGGGGGAAAAAAAAAAAAGGGAAGAAGAAGAAAAGACGUCUAAGAGGGGAACGUGAACUCCAAACACACACACACACACACACAUAGAUGCACACACACUGCACUCAGGCUCCAGUGCAGGAGCAGCCCCACUCACAGGUGUACAUGCUGCUGCGUUGCCACAGCAAGGUUCUGGCUCUGCCUGCACAAAUAGGUGAUCUGCAUCUGGUGCUGCUCUCGGUUAUGUUCUAGUUGACUACGCAGCCACUGCAGCUCCUCCAGCAGCCACACGAGCUUCCUGACACAGCAAUGGCGCAUAGCAGAGGCAUCGACAUGCUUAAGUUAGCAGCUCUACCGCUAAUCGAUCCUGUGAUGUGCACGGCUUCCGAUCGCGAAUGAUCGGAUCUUUCCAGUGCAAAAAGUAACCCGGGACACGGAGUCAGCGGGCAUGUGCGUUUUUUUUUUUUUUUUUAAUUCCUGCAUAGAAGUGCAUUGGAGUGACAUAACAGGCUAAAACUCUUUAAAAAUGUUUUGUUUGUGAGUUCCAGAACAUGCUAUUUUCGGAGGAUUUACUAUGCAGUGACCUUGAAGAAAAGUUCUUUAAACUGUGUGUGUGUGUGUGUGUGUGUGUGUGAAAGCAUGGAGGCUCACCUCUGAGCCAGCUCGAGUCCCGAAAGCUCGUCGUUUUCUACACGAGGAUCUGCUGGGUAGUGAAAGUGACGUGAUUAGGUGAAUGGCAGUACACUGAGACAUAUGUGAAGCCUAUCCUCCAGACUGGCGGCAUGUCUCCGAGUGGCCUCAUGCUCCUCCCUCAGACGCUCCAUCUUCCGUGCCAUGCUGUCAAUCAGUUCCGGCCCGACCCCUGG